GCGCUAGUUUAGCUCAGCGGCUACAUCAAACCAGUGAACUCAUCAGCCCCUGCCUUCCGGUUGGGGCAGAUCGAACCGCGGGCGCUGUCUAGCGUUUUA
Molecule: vault RNA, 99 nt
Organism: Gadus morhua (Atlantic cod)
Lineage: Eukaryota; Metazoa; Chordata; Actinopteri; Gadiformes; Gadidae
Gene: Vault
Rfam family: Vault RNA
About the family: This family of RNAs are found as part of the enigmatic vault ribonucleoprotein complex. The complex consists of a major vault protein (MVP), two minor vault proteins (VPARP and TEP1), and several small untranslated RNA molecules. It has been suggested that the vault complex is involved in drug resistance.
Source: Ensembl